RNAcentral lists this ribosomal RNA (117 nucleotides) under Oscillospiraceae bacterium. The record is from RNAcentral. Lineage: Bacteria; Bacillati; Bacillota; Clostridia; Eubacteriales; Oscillospiraceae.
GUUGGUGCUGAUUGCGGUGAGGGUCCACCCGUUCCCAUCCCGAACACGGAAGUUAAGCUCACUUGCGCCGAAAAUACUUGGCGGGCAGCUGCCCGGGAAAAUAGGUAGGCGCCAACA